Molecule: unclassified non-coding RNA, 3733 nt
Filed under: Daphnia magna
Lineage: Eukaryota; Metazoa; Arthropoda; Branchiopoda; Diplostraca; Daphniidae
Description: probable serine/threonine-protein kinase dyrk2, transcript variant X3
Source: RNAcentral
ACUUGUGAAGGAACAGCAAAAUGAGUAAGAGUUUUUGGGAAGCUUGAAACAGCCCAGAGAUUGAGAAAAAUAAAGAAAAACAUUUGGGAAAAUGGGAGGGAUAAGAGGAGAGGGAAGGGGGAGGGGAGAGACUUGCUGUAUUCCGCUGCGGAGUUGGUUUGCGUAUACAAAAACAUACGUACACCCCUCUCCCGCGGAUUGCGAGACUCACUCGGCCGUCCUCUGGCCAGUAGCGUCCUGCUAACCGUCCCAGACACACACACACAUAAGCAAGACGCCAGUGCUGCAAGAGUUGUGUCGACAUACUUGAAACGAGAAGAAGAAGAAGAAGAAAAUUCUAGGCUGAAAUUUUGGUGUGCGGGCACGUCGGAAGUGUUGGGCUUCUCUUUGCGAGUGGUGCGCACAGGCAAAAGAGGCCACUUUCAAGUGUCUGGCUUUAUUCCUCAUCCGGAAUAGCCGGAAGAAGAGAAGGAAUUUCCCUAUUUUUUUAUUUUUUGAAGGAUGUUUUGGUUUGGUAUCGAAAAAUUCGGCCCCAUCUGCUACGGGAUUCUUUGCAUUGUUGGCUGUUUAGUGAAGGAGGAGUUUUAGUGGCGGUUCCAAUGAGGAGAGUGUCCCAGUUUCCGGAGUGAGAGGGGAGGGGGUGGGGGAGGCACAGAAAAAAGAAGAAAGAAAAAAAAAGUUUGGGAAUCCAAAUUUGAACUGUUUUUAAACAAACAAAGAAAAAAGAAAAAAAGGGGAAAACGGAAGAUUGCAAACACUCCACCUGGAAACCCUUUCCUAUCACUGAAGUGAAAGAUCACGUCUGGAACAUGUCCGCCUCCCGGCGGCGUCAUUCGGAACAAUUGCCGCUGCAGCGACCACUGCCGGAUGAAGUGGAACCUAGCGCCAUCCGUCAUGGAGAACAGGCGAACCAUCGCAUCCAUCGGUCCCACCUUCAGCAGCAGCAGCAGCAGCCGCUGACGAGGACGCGCAGCUCUGCUCAUUUGUUUCUCGGCCAGCUGACGGGAACGUGUUCCAGUCUCUUUCGCCGUCUGUCGGUUAAAGUGCGUUACUUGUCGCUGUCGCUCAUCCCGGGCUCUUCGGGUUCCCGAUCGAGCUCGGCGACGGGCGGAAUCGGAUCAUCCAGGCCGUCCACUCCGCCGUCGGGUCAAAGAAAUCGGCCCCGAUCGGCCGACAGGGUCGUCGAAGAUAUCGCAGCUGGCCAAAAGGUGCGCCCUAGACGCCACACGACUACCGUCUGCACGACGAUGGACGAAUCCACCCCCGUGGCCAAUCACGGCCCUGUGAAUUGUAGCGCUGCGUUUCUCACGGAUUACCGGACGGCUAGACGUUCGCCCAGUCCCGGAUCGGACAGUGAAGCCACUCCGACGCCCAGCCCUUGCACGUUUUCCAUGCCGACAGCCACCGUUGAAGACACGGUGUACACGGCUGGCCAGCAACACCUGAGGGCCGAUGAUUACCCAACGCUGAAAGGAUCGAGCCGACGGAGGCGGCGCCACCAUCACCACCACAGCAGCAGCGGCAGCAGCGGCGGCGGCGGUGGCAAUGGGAGCCACAACAACAACAACAACAACAAUCAUCAACAUAAUCGGCAUCAGCGUCAUAACCGGAAGAGUCAGACGGAAGCAUCUACAGGUCGCGAUCGUGCCAGUCCAUUGACGAUGGAGGACGACGGUGUGGCGAUGAUGAACAGCUGCGCCACAGCAGCAGACGACGACGACGACGGCGACCACCAGUUGUUGAACGAGUCGACUGCAACACCUUUGGCACUGGACCAAUGUUUUGCUCUGGGCCUAAAUUUAACCUCUUUGGCUCCAAAGUCGUCCAAGUCGACGGAUACAUUUUUGGCCGGCGACCAACAAAACGACGACGACGACGACGAAGACGAGGAGGAGGAGGAGGAAGAAGAAGAAGAUGAAAAUGAAAACGACGUUGCCGCCGCUGCUGCUGCCGGAUCGUCUGCUUGUGAUCGCCAGUCGGAGCAAGUAGAAUGCGAGUUGUUGACCAGUCAGGAUAACACGAACGGCAGCACUGCGUCCAAUCCUUAUUUCGAUUGGUUUCUGUCGUGCAAUUUGCAAGAGGAAGACGAACAGUUGGGCGCCAACGCGUCGGUGGGCGACCGGAGGCCGUCCUUGAAAGUGUCUCACAAGUCAGUGGGGUCCGCCCGAGGAGGAGGUGGAGGAGAAGAGGAGGAAGAAGAAGAAGAAGAUUUGCAUCGGUCGCUCGAAGAUUUGCCUUACCCCAUUUUGCUGGACGAUUGGAUUUCUCCGCCUUCGCCCACUUCGCCACCGGCCGUUGCGUUGCAACACGACCAUCCGUCGGCUUCGAUGGAUCGAGAUCCGCUGACGGCGCUGCGCCAUCACUCGACCUGGUUCGAAGAUUAUGCCUAUCCGGCCUAUUCCAGCAAAUCGAGUCAGGCUGGUGGCGCUAGUAGUAGCGGCAACAGCAGCAAAUCGUCGAAUCGAUUGUCUUCGACUGGAACGCUGGCCGCCACGUCGACCGGCACCAGCCGGAUGAUGGCCGAGAAAGCGUAUCCGUACGUUUCGACGCCGGCCACACCGUCGCGGCACAGCAACACGAAAUACCAUCAGGGCACGUCGUCGUCCUCCUCCUCCUAUCACCUCGAUCCGUACGAUCUGCUCUACGACGAAGUGGCUUAUCAGGUGCCCGAUGCUGCAGGAUUGGGAGCCAAACUGGCAUCGUCUGGUGGCAAACCGUCUACGUGCACGUCGAAUAUCAUUCCGGUGCCAUUGUCGUCGUCGUCGUCUUCGACGCUGUCCAGCAAUAAUAACAGCGAACGCGGAGUUCAUCCGGGACCCGAAUCCUUUCCUGGCGUGGAGCCCGGCACGCGCGCUACCGGUUGCCAUGGAUACGGCGGCCCCGUGUCUACCAGCGCAACCGGUAGCGGCAAGGUACCGCUGCUGUCGUCGUCGUCCAACGCAGCCGUUGGCCAAUCGUCUGCUAAUUCAUCGAACGCCAUUACCCGAACGGUUAGAACGAGACGGUCCCAGCCGUUGGGCAGCCGUUGCCUCAGUUCCCGUGCCCCGUCUGUGGAGGACGACGAAGAUGGACAUCUUCUUUACCGAAAUGGCGACAUUCUCCAGAAUCGAUAUCGAGUGCAGGCCACCUUGGGCGAGGGCACCUUUGGUAAAGUGGUCAAAGUCAAAGACGUGACCAAAUCCAGGGACGAGAGCUUCGCCUUAAAGAUUAUCAAGAAUGUAGAAAAAUAUCGGGAGGCGGCCAAACUGGAGAUUAACGUGCUGGAAAAGUUGGAUCGCAAGGAUCCCGAAGGCAAAUACCUUUGCGUCAAGAUGCUGGAUUGGUUUGAUUAUCACGGCCAUAUGUGCAUCGCCUUUGAAAUGCUUGGCCUUUCCGUCUUUGAUUUCCUGAAGGACAACAAUUAUCAGCCCUAUUCGCUGGACCAGGUGCGUCAUAUUGGCUACCAGUUAUCCUACGCCGUCCGAUUCCUCCACGACAACAAGUUGACUCACACGGACUUGAAGCCCGAAAACAUUCUCUUUGUCGACUCGGAUUUUGACAUCUCCUACAACCCAAAAAAAGAAAAGGGAUUACCGACGAGUGAAAAGAACGGACGUGCGUUUGAUUGAUUUUGGGAGUGCCACGUUUGACCACGAACAUCACAGCACCAUCGUCUCGACGCGUCAUUACCGCGCACCCGAAGUCAUAUUAGAAUUGGGUUGGACGCAGCCUUGCGAUGUCUGGUCGAUUGGAU